This is an RNA transcript of Vitis vinifera (wine grape), 3497 nucleotides long. It is a transcript of the gene named ETHYLENE INSENSITIVE 3-like 3 protein, with no coding region annotated. The record is from RefSeq and is a predicted model, not a curated record. NCBI's taxonomy places the organism in Eukaryota, Viridiplantae, Streptophyta, Magnoliopsida, Vitales, Vitaceae. The transcript is spliced from 4 exons.
GACCGGUUUGGACCAGCCGGAUGUGCAGCCUUGUAAAUCGGAACACUGGGUCAGCUCUUGUCCAUAUGUGAACACUAUCGGCCGCCUCGCAUCUCUCGUUCUUUGCUUUCUUGUUAUUUCCUAUUUUGUUUUUUAAAUUCAGAGUUAAUUUUGGUUUUUCAGAAAGAGAGAGGAAAAUUGUGAGUAGGGGUUUUGAAGAAUUCGAUUGCAUGCGAUAAGAUGGGAGAAUUUGAAGAGAUUGGAGUUGAUAUGUGCAUGUUGGGUGACAGCUCUGAUAUAGAAGUUGAUGAGGUAAGGUGUGAAAAUAUCGCGGAGAAAGAUGUCAGUGAUGAAGAGAUUGAAGCAGAGGAAUUGGAGAGACGAAUGUGGAAGGACCGUAUUAAACUCAAGAGGAUCAAGGAAAGACAAAAGAUCACAGCCCAACAGGCUGCCGAGAAGCAGAAGCCCAAACCGAAUGCUGAUCAUGCUCGGAGGAAGAAAAUGUCUAGAGCGCAAGAUGGGAUUCUUAAAUACAUGCUGAAGCUGAUGGAGGUGUGCAAAGCUCGUGGGUUCGUGUAUGGGAUCAUUCCUGAGAAGGGUAAACCAGUAAGUGGUGCAUCUGACAAUAUAAGAGCUUGGUGGAAAGAAAAGGUGAAGUUUGAUAAGAAUGGGCCAGCAGCCAUAGCCAAAUAUGAGGCAGAAUGCCUUGCCAUGGUCGAAAAUGAGAAUAAUCGAAAUGGAAAUUCUCAAAGCACCCUUCAAGACCUGCAGGAUGCAACGUUGGGGUCACUUUUGUCUUCCUUGAUGCAACACUGUGAUCCGCCUCAGAGGAAGUAUCCACUAGAGAAGGGUGUUCCGCCACCUUGGUGGCCUUCAGGGAAUGAGGAUUGGUGGGUUAAAUUAGGUUUAGCGAGAAGCCAAAGUCCUCCUUAUAAGAAACCACAUGAUCUGAAAAAGAUGUGGAAAGUUGGAGUGUUAACAGCUGUGAUCAAGCAUAUGUCACCUGAUAUUUCUAAGAUCAGGAGGCUUGUUCGGCAGUCGAAAUGCUUACAGGAUAAGAUGACUGCAAAGGAGAGCUCGAUUUGGUUGGGGGUUUUGAACCGAGAGGAAUCCCUCAUCCGGCAGCCUAGCAGUGAUAAUGGGACAUCUGGCAUCACUGGAACACCUCCAAAUGGUCAUGAUGGAAAGAACAAAGUCGCUGUUAGCAGUGACAGUGAUUAUGAUGUUGAUGGUGUUGAUGAUGGUGUGGGCUCUGUUUCAUCCAAAGAUGACAGGAGAAAUCAGCAGAUGGAUAUAGCGUCAUUUGAAGAUGAUCGCGAUAAUAGUGGUGCCCAGCCUGUCCAAGAUAAAAAAAAGGGGCGAAAACAACUUAAGAGAAAGAGACCCCAUGUGAAAUCCAGGCCUGUCAAUCAAGAGUCUGCACCAUCUCUAGAAGAGAAUCUACAUGAGGAGUCAAGAAACUCUCUGCAACAUCUACAUAAUGAGCCAAGAAAUUCUUUGCCUGAUAUAAACCACAAUGAUGCUCAGUUGGCUCCAUACGAGAUGCUUGGCACCCAACAGGAAAAUGAUAGAGUCACAUCUUUGAGGCCUCUGGAGAAAGAUCUUGAGAAUCAAUCCCAGUUACCAGAACCUGAAUUUAACCAUUUCUCUGCUUUUCCUUCUGCCAAUGCAAUCUCCACGCAGAGCAUGUAUGUGGGUGGCAGGCCUUUGCUUUACCCUGCAGUGCAAAAUGCUGAGUUGCAUCAUGGAACUCCUUAUGAAUUCUAUAAUCCACCAUCUGAUUAUGGGCACAAUCCUGAUGGACAACAAUCCCAUAUGGCAAUGAAUGAAACCCAGAUGAGGCUGGAGGAUGGCAGAAUUCACGAACCUGAACUAAAUAGAAAUGGAAAUGAUAUUUCUGGUGGUAACUUGCGUCAUUAUGUAAAAGACACAUUUCAUAGUGGGCAAGAUAGACCUGUGGAAAGUCAUUAUGGGUCUCCAAUCGAGAGCCUGUCACUAGAUUUUGGAGGAUUCAAUAGUCCGUUUGAUCUUGGAAUUGAUGGGACUUCAUUAGGUACCCCUGAUAUAGACUAUUUGCUUGACGAUGACUUGAUCCAAUACUUCGGAGCAUAGAUUGUGAGAUUCGGCAAAUUCAAUUUCAAGCAAAUAUUGCUCCGAAAAAAGUUCUGCAUCUUUUGCUGACUGGAGUGAAUAACUUCUACCUAUAUUCUUUGGACAUGUUACCAUAGCUGGUGUAGUCAUUUAUGGAUCUCACAACGAGGAGCUUGUCUUUUGGCUUGGCCGUAUUCAAGUAGGGUUUUGGGUUUAGGGUGGAGAAAAAUUGGAGAAGAUCACAAGGUUAAGCAUCUGUGUGGGUAUUAUGGAUCCUAAUGAUGCAGAUUUUGAGGUAAAAGAAUGAUCAAUCUGGAAGCUGGUGAAUCAGGAAGAUGGAUAAAGAUGUGAGGGGUUUUGUGAAAAUUUUCUGUUUUACAUCAAGGAAAAUGUUUUCUAUCAUAAAAUACGCGGUCAAAAUGCCUUUAUUGUAAUUUAGGACGUUUAAAGCACGGCGGCACGACAUGUCAGGGUGAUCAAUGUGGGGGCCACGGCAAUGAUUGGAGCCUUUUGGACGUCGUCUUACAAACAGACAAACUUAGCUGCUCUCUGUCUCUCGAUGCAUCAUUCCCCGCGUGUCCGCAGUCGAGCUACCGACUUGGUGAAUGACAAUGUUACCCCACUCUAAAUUAAGCUCCGAUGUUGUUGGUGGUCAUUUUAGCUUACUUCGAGGUUAGAACUGUCUUUCUAACCCUAAUGAGAAAGAAAAAAAAUUCAAAGGCUUCGUCAGGAUAUGUGAUAUAUGAUAAUACAUGUCACCAUUUUCUUCUGUAUACUGUGAAGAAAUUAAGGAGGAGAUGGAAAAGAGGAGGUCUGGGGUUGAUUUCCACAUUUUUGCUAAUUUUAAUGGUGAUUUCACCUCCAUUUUUCCACACUUCUCCUACUAGUAAGCCUCUCUCUCUCAGAAACACCCAUUUUCUCUUUUCCCAAACUCUGGUGACUAAUAUAUUCAUAGCCCUGGUUUUUGAAGGUGGAAGAAAAAUGGCAGGUCAGUACAAGACCAGGCAGGCAGAAAUGGUAAAAUAAAAAGAGAAAAACCCUCUUCCUUGAAUACCCAUGUCUAUUAAUUUCAGCUCUGAAAUGGGUUCUCUCCAUCUUUCUUUUUAAUGGUGUUUUUUGCUUUGCUUUUUCCUUUUUCCUUUUUUUGGGGGAAGAAGGAAGUAGAGAGUAGCAGAGGUAAUGGUAAUGGCGUAGAAGACUAUGAAAGGCAAGUUCCAACUGGACCUGACCCACGUCACCACAACUCCAACCCUUCUCCUUAAAUACAACCUCUUCCUAUGUAUCCUGGGAUUCUCACCAGAGCUUUUGUUUUUUUGUUUUUUAUUUUUUAUUUUUUUUAAUUUUAUUUAUGCAGAUUAAUUAUACAGUCUCCUACUGCUAGCUAUGUAUUAGGGUUUUGUUUAACAUGUGAAAGCAAGUUCCAUCAA